RNAcentral lists this ribosomal RNA (253 nucleotides) under uncultured bacterium. RNAcentral describes it as "partial 16S ribosomal RNA". It matches the Rfam family "Bacterial small subunit ribosomal RNA", at positions 524 to 776 of the family's 1533-position model. The record is from RNAcentral.
GACAGAGGUUGCAAGCGUUGUUCGGAAUUACUGGGCAUAAAGCGCACGUAGGCGGUCCGCUAAGUCAUGUGUGAAAUCCCCCGGCUCAACCGGGGAAUGGCGCCUGAUACUGGCGGACUCGAGAUCGGUAGGGGUGAGUGGAACUCCAGGUGGAGCGGUGAAAUGCGUAGAUAUCUGGAGGAACACCGGUGGCGAAGGCGGCAUCCUGGACCAUUACUGACACUGAAAAGCGAAAGCCAGGGGAGCAAACGGG